Molecule: ribosomal RNA, 484 nt
Filed under: uncultured bacterium
Lineage: Bacteria
Description: partial 16S ribosomal RNA
Rfam family: Bacterial small subunit ribosomal RNA
Source: RNAcentral
GACGAACGCUGGCGGCGUGCUUAACACAUGCAAGUCGAACGAUGAAGCCGGAGCUUGCUCUGGUGAAUUAGUGGCGAACGGGUGAGUAACACGUGAGUAACCUGCCCUUGACUCUGGGAUAACUGCGGGAAACUGUAGCUAAUACCGGAUACGACCCUCGGAGGCAUCUCCUGGGGGUGGAAAGAAUUUCGGUAAAGGAUGGACUCGCGGCCUAUCAGCUAGUUGGUGAGGUAAAGGCUCACCAAAGCGACGACGUGCAGCCGGCCUGAGAGGGUGACCGGCCACACUGGGACUGCGACACGGCCCAGACUCCUACGGGAGGCAGCAGUGGGGAAUAUUGCACAAUGGGCGCAAGCCUGAUGCAGCAACGCCGCGUGAGGGAUGACGGCCUUCGGGUUGUAAACCUCUUUUAGCAGGGAAGAAGCGAAAGUGACGGUACCUGCAGAAAAAGCACCGGCUAACUACGUGCCAGCCGCCGCAGUAA